GUUUGACUCUAUAGCACCAUUCCUUAGUAUAUAUAAGACGGCAAAGUCCUUGGUUAUCGCAGUCGCUAGUCACAAGUUUUGGACACCGGCAGUCUGGCCCGCACACUCUCUGGACUAUAUAUUCAGGUUAAGCCUUAUGUUACAUAACUGUGCUGGUCAUUCUAUGUCUCCGUGUUUUCUACUCCCUCGCUCCUAAAAAGGUCAUCCUCAUCGCCUGACUGAUAAGAACUUGGAUAACGAGUUUCAAUUUUUUGGAAAAGAUUUGUCGGUCUUCUGUGGUUUUGAACUGGAUUCAAUCCAUUUUUCUUGCAUGUCGAUAUUCUAGUGGUUAAUUUUACAGUACCAGUAAUACAUUAUAUACUGUAAUUGUUCACAAAUUUAUUUUUUAAAUGCACUAACAUUGAUUGGUAGUAAUUAUAAAAUUUAGAUUUUCUCGUUAAUGAGACUAGAUUAGAUUGGUUCACGAAUUUGGGUUAUUAAAAUCAUGAUGUGCUGUAUGAUUACGUGGAGAGAAAGCUGAAACUUCUUGUUUCCAAGGGCAACCUAAAAUAACUGAUGAAUUAGUGUAUUGAAAUAUAAUUAUUUUCUCCGAUUUCUAUUUAGAUCCUCACAAUUCCUGCGCUGUUGGUGAUUCUGAAAUGGUUCGGUGACUGGCGACUGCACUACGUUUUUAUUCAUUACAGUACUGCAGUCGCCAGUCACUGAAUCCUGUAUCAUGACAUUCAGCAAUAUUUCUUCACUUUAUUUUACCUCCUAAUUUUUUUUUGUCUACCGAAAUAAAAGUAAAAGGACAAUAAACGAGAGAUGUAAAAUGCCA
Molecule: long non-coding RNA, 817 nt
Organism: Daphnia pulicaria
Lineage: Eukaryota; Metazoa; Arthropoda; Branchiopoda; Diplostraca; Daphniidae
Exons: 2
Source: RefSeq, a predicted model, not a curated record